Molecule: long non-coding RNA, 1085 nt
Filed under: Oryctolagus cuniculus (rabbit)
Lineage: Eukaryota; Metazoa; Chordata; Mammalia; Lagomorpha; Leporidae
Description: lncRNA (ENSOCUG00000030771.1)
Source: RNAcentral
GAGAUCCCAGUUCACUGUAUUCUCAGUAUGCUGUCUUCUGGCACUCUGGCUUACACCAAGGGUCAAUUGGGGGUAGCUGGAGCAACGGGUGGACUGAACAGUCUUUAGCACACACAAAUACAGACACUUGUGCCUCCCUGUGAGAUAGGAAACGGAUGACAGAGUGCGAGAUUAUAUCCCUUGACAAGAACUUGGAGAAAGAGAUUUCACGUUGUCACUUACGGCUCGACCCAAAUCCCGGAACAGAACUGAGAUAAGUAUCUUAAUCUUGCUCCCACAAUGCUCAAAGGUGUGUGGUCUUAGGGAAAUUUUGAUGGGGGAAGGGAACACUGCAUGCCAGGCAUUUCUGGUUUGAUAGAUAAAAUGCAAGUGGUAUUAUUUACAUCAUUCAGUUAUUCUGAAGCCUAAUAAGGUAGUGGAAGCAAAUAUAUAUAACAAUAACUGCUGCACACCAAGGUGUUGAUUGAUAAACAUUUGUUGGAUCCAUGUCUAAACCACAACCACCCCAACCUUACAAGCCCAGAAUUGGGGCACCCCAGCUAUGCAUAGGGAGCUAGGCAACUUACAACUGCUAAUUCUUAUUAAGUGCAGCAUUUCACUGGCCAGCAUUGGGUAACUCACUGUAUCAACAAGGGGCACUGUCAUGGGAAGUCUUCAUAAGAAAGCACAGCUGCCAACAUGACACUGACCAGUACAAUGUAAACUUCUCUCUUUUCAGGUUUCUUUGAGAACAGCUCCUGAGUUAUAGUUAAGGAAGGUGUCAGUGGGAGAUGAACGGAGAGGAGUAAUGGUUGGAGUUAUCAGUGACGUCCUAUCAUCAGGGCAGUUUGACCACCCAAGUGACACCUGUAUCCCUCCCAACAGCAAAAAGGAGAAAAGUAUGCAAGUCAUUUUCCCUUGAAAGCAAAGCCAUGGUUACCCAGCCAAUGAUCACAUCUGAGUGCAAGCUUUGUGAGUUUACUGAGCCAGGAGCUUCUCGAUGGAGGCUAUCGGUGAAAAUAUGGCUGGAAAUGCUGUUUGUGAGCUAACACAUAACUGAUUCUCCCAGAGACUCGAAAUGUGCACCUCCGUGCAGCAAGGCAGUC